This 321-nucleotide ribosomal RNA is filed under the name uncultured eukaryote. RNAcentral's name for it is "partial 18S ribosomal RNA". It matches the Rfam family "Eukaryotic small subunit ribosomal RNA", at positions 1470 to 1796 of the family's 1831-position model. The record is from RNAcentral.
CCCUUAGAUGUCCUGGGCCGCACGCGCGCUACACUGACAUGUUCAACAAGCCUCCUAGUUCGACAGGAUUUGGGAAAUCUUUGAACGCAUGUCGUGAUAGGGAUAGAUCAUUGCAAUUAUUGAUCUUGAACGAGGAAUUCCUAGUAAACGCGAGUCAUCAGCUCGCAUUGAUUACGUCCCUGCCCUUUGCACACACCGCCCGUCGCACCUACCGAUUGAAUGUUUCGGUGAAGAUUCCGGAUAGGACUUUUUUGAUUUAUUUCAAUUUUGUCUUAAAAGCUAUCUAAACCUCAACAUUUAGAGGAAGGUGAAGUCGUAACA